Small nuclear RNA from Cynocephalus volans (Philippine flying lemur), 163 nucleotides. RefSeq annotates it as U1 spliceosomal RNA. The record is from RefSeq and is a predicted model, not a curated record. NCBI's taxonomy places the organism in Eukaryota, Metazoa, Chordata, Mammalia, Dermoptera, Cynocephalidae. The transcript has a single exon.
AUACUUUUCUGGGCGUGGAGAAACCAUGAUCGCGAAGGCGGUUUUCCAAGGGUGAGGUUCAUCCAUUGCACUCCGGGUAUGCUGACCCCUGCGACUUCCCCAAGUGCGGGAAACUCGACUGCAUGGUUUGUGACAGUUGGGGACUGCGUUCGCGCUUCUUUAA